Molecule: ribosomal RNA, 307 nt
Filed under: uncultured bacterium
Lineage: Bacteria
Description: bacterial SSU rRNA
Rfam family: Bacterial small subunit ribosomal RNA
Source: RNAcentral
GACGAACGCUGGCGGCGUGCUUAACACAUGCAAGUCGAGCGAUGAAGCUCCUUCGGGAGUGGAUUAGCGGCGGACGGGUGAGUAACACGUGGGUAACCUGCCUCAUAGAGGGGAAUAGCCUUUCGAAAGGAAGAUUAAUACCGCAUAAGAUUGUAGUACCGCAUGGUACAGCAAUUAAAGGAGUAAUCCGCUAUGAGAUGGACCCGCGUCGCAUUAGCUAGUUGGUGAGGUAACGGCCCACCAAGGCGACGAUCAGUAGCCGGACUGAGAGGUUGAACGGCCACAUUGGGACUGAGACACGGCCCAG